GACAGAGGCCUCAAGCGUUAGGCGGAAUCACUGGGCUUAAAGCGUGUGUAGGCGGACUUCUAAGUGCCUUGUGAAAUCCCACGGCUCAACCGUGGAACUGCUGGGCAUACUGGGAGUCUUGGGCCAUUCAGGGGCAACUGGAACAAGCGGUGGAGCGGUGAAAUGCGUAGAGAUCGGAAAGAACACCAACGGCGAAAGCACUCUGCUGGGCCGACACUGACACUGAGAGACGAAAGCUAGGGGAGCGAAUGGG
This 253-nucleotide ribosomal RNA is filed under the name uncultured bacterium. Its description in RNAcentral is "partial 16S ribosomal RNA". It matches the Rfam family "Bacterial small subunit ribosomal RNA", at positions 524 to 776 of the family's 1533-position model. The record is from RNAcentral.